This 253-nucleotide ribosomal RNA is filed under the name uncultured bacterium. RNAcentral describes it as "partial 16S ribosomal RNA". It matches the Rfam family "Bacterial small subunit ribosomal RNA", at positions 524 to 776 of the family's 1533-position model. The record is from RNAcentral.
UACGAAGGGUGCAAGCGUUAAUCGGAAUUACUGGGCGUAAAGCGUGCGUAGGCGGUUUCUUAAGUCUGCUGUGAAAGCCCUGGGCUCAACCUGGGAAUGGCGGUGGAUACUGAGAAGCUGGAGUACGGUAGAGGAAGGUGGAAUUCCCGGUGUAGCGGUGAAAUGCGUAGAGAUCGGGAGGAACAUCAGUGGCGAAGGCGGCCUUCUGGACCAGUACCGACGUUCAGUCACGAAAGCGUGGGGAGCAAACAGG